AACGAACGCUGGCGGCAUGCCUAACACAUGCGAGUCGAACGAGACCUUCGGGUCUAGUGGCGCACGGGUGCGUAACGCGUGGGAACCUGCCCUUAGGUUCGGAAUAACUCCCCGAAAGGGGUGCUAAUACCGGAUAAUGUCUUCGGACCAAAGGUUUAUCGCCUUUGGAUGGGCCCGCGUUGGAUUAGCUAGUUGGUAGGGUAAAAGCCUACCAAGGCGACGAUCCAUAGCUGGUCUGAGAGGAUGAUCAGCCACACUGGGACUGAGACACGGCCCAGACUCCUACGGGAGGCAGCAGUGGGGAAUAUUGGACAAUGGGCGAAAGCCUGAUCCAGCAAUGCCGCGUGAGUGAUGAAGGCCUUAGGGUUGUAAAGCUCUUUUACCCGGGAUGAUAAUGACAGUACCGGGAGAAUAAGCUCCGGCUAACUCCGUG
RNAcentral lists this ribosomal RNA (433 nucleotides) under uncultured bacterium. RNAcentral describes it as "partial 16S ribosomal RNA". It matches the Rfam family "Bacterial small subunit ribosomal RNA", at positions 29 to 507 of the family's 1533-position model. The record is from RNAcentral.